Molecule: ribosomal RNA, 468 nt
Filed under: uncultured bacterium
Lineage: Bacteria
Description: partial 16S ribosomal RNA
Rfam family: Bacterial small subunit ribosomal RNA
Source: RNAcentral
GACGAACGCUGGCGGCGUGCUUAACACAUGCAAGUCGAACGGAAAGGCCCUGCUUUUGUGGGGUGCUCGAGUGGCGAACGGGUGAGUAACACGUGAGUAACCUGCCCUUGACUUUGGGAUAACUUCAGGAAACUGGGGCUAAUACCUGAUAUGAGCUCCUGCUGCAUGGUGGGGGUUGGAAAGUUUCGGCGGUUGGGGAUGGACUCGCGGCUUAUCAGCUUGUUGGUGGGGUAGUGGCUUACCAAGGCUUUGACGGGUAGCCGGCCUGAGAGGGUGACCGGCCACAUUGGGACUGAGAUACGGACCAGACUGCUACGGGAGGCAGCAGUGGGGAAUAUUGCACAAUGGGAGGAAGCCUGAUGAAGAAACGCCGCGUGCGGGAUGACGGACUUCGGGUUGUAAAACGCUUUAGCCUGUGACGAAGCGUGAGUGACGGUAAUGGGUAAAGAAGCACCGGCUAACUACGUG